GAAAGACCCCGUGAACCUUUACUAUAGCUUGACACUGAACAUUGAGCCUUGAUGUGUAGGAUAGGUGGGAGGCUUUGAAGCGUGGACGCCAGUCUGCGUGGAGCCAACCUUGAAAUACCACCCUUUAAUGUUUGAUGUUCUAACGUUGGCCCCUAAUCGGGGUUGCGGACAGUGUCUGGUGGGUAGUUUGACUGGGGCGGUCUCCUCCCAAAGCGUAACGGAGGAGCACGAAGGUUAGCUAAUCCUGGUCGGACAUCAGGAGGUUAGUGCAAUGGCAUAAGCUAGCUUGACUGCGAGCGUGACGGCGCGAG
This 311-nucleotide ribosomal RNA is filed under the name Klebsiella quasipneumoniae subsp. similipneumoniae. Its description in RNAcentral is "partial 23S ribosomal RNA". It matches the Rfam family "Bacterial large subunit ribosomal RNA", at positions 2083 to 2393 of the family's 2925-position model. Lineage: Bacteria; Pseudomonadati; Pseudomonadota; Gammaproteobacteria; Enterobacterales; Enterobacteriaceae. The record is from RNAcentral.